This 253-nucleotide ribosomal RNA is filed under the name uncultured bacterium. Its description in RNAcentral is "partial 16S ribosomal RNA". It matches the Rfam family "Bacterial small subunit ribosomal RNA", at positions 524 to 776 of the family's 1533-position model. The record is from RNAcentral.
UACAGAGGGUGCGAGCGUUAAUCGGAAUUACUGGGCGUAAAGAGCUCGUAGGCGGCUGUUCAAGUCGAACGUGAAAACUCGGAGCUCAACUCCGAGCCUGCGUUCGAUACUGGACGGCUAGAGUCUGGUAGGGGGAUCUGGAAUUCCUGGUGUAGCGGUGGAAUGCGCAGAUAUCAGGAGGAACACCAGUGGCGAAGGCGGGAUCCUGGGCCAGUACUGACGCUGAGGAGCGAAAGCGUGGGGAGCAAACAGG